This 484-nucleotide ribosomal RNA is filed under the name uncultured bacterium. RNAcentral describes it as "bacterial SSU rRNA". It matches the Rfam family "Bacterial small subunit ribosomal RNA", at positions 29 to 508 of the family's 1533-position model. The record is from RNAcentral.
AUGAACGCUAGCGGCAGGCUUAAUACAUGCAAGUCGUGGGGCAGCAGGGGUAGCAAUACCCGCUGGCGACCGGCAAACGGGUGAGGAACAUGUACGCAACCUACCUUUAACUGGAGGAUAGCCCCUCGAAAGAGGGAUUAAUACUCCGUAACAUAAUGAAGUGGCAUCGCUUUAUUAUUAUAGCUCCGGCGGUUAAAGAUGGGCGUGCAGCUGAUUAGGCAGUUGGCGGGGUAACGGCCCACCAAACCUACGAUCAGUAACUGGUGUGAGAGCACGACCAGUCACACGGGCACUGAGACACGGGCCCGACUCCUACGGGAGGCAGCAGUAAGGAAUAUUGGUCAAUGGAGGCAACUCUGAACCAGCCAUGCCGCGUGAAGGAUUAAGGCCCUCUGGGUUGUAAACUUCUUUUAUAUGGUAAGAAAUGUUCUGAUUCUUCAGAGCUUGACGGUACCAUAGGAAUAAGCACCGGCUAACUCCGUGC